CGACAGACUUGUUUGCCGUCGCCUUCCCCAGGCCGUGACAGGGGGGCUUUUGGCUUCUGAGGAGUUCGUUUUCUUCCUCCAGAGCUCCGGAGCGGCGACGCAGGCCAGCGCACGGCCCUCACAGCAAUGGAGAACCUGAAUGUCUCGCUCCCAGAUCUUACYGAAGACCUGCAAGACAUUUUUCAGGGGGCUUUUGCUGCUGAUGCCAGUUACUUGGAGAACCAUGAGRAAAUGGAUCAGUCCUUCUGGGAAGCUCUCGUAAAAUGUUUAGCCACCGCUGACCCAGCUAUCCUGAAUACCGAAGAAGAAAACAAUUUGCUCAACAGAUGCACUGUCCUGCCUGGAGGCUSUGCAGCCUGCCUGAAAGUCAUAGGGAAGAAAGGAGCCAGGGCAAUGGCUCUUCUUUACCUGUUGCUGAAGACAACYGACCCGUCUGAAUACAGGCAGCUGCCCAGCUCCAAGGGAAAGGGUGAGUCCUG
This 479-nucleotide long non-coding RNA is filed under the name Dromaius novaehollandiae (emu). RNAcentral's name for it is "lncRNA (ENSDNVG00000014338.1)". The record is from RNAcentral. Lineage: Eukaryota; Metazoa; Chordata; Aves; Casuariiformes; Dromaiidae.